CUUGAGUGACAACUUGAGGACAAGGCGGCGCCUCGACAAGAUUUCACACAGCAGCUACGGGGGCCAGAGAAGCAGCACCGCAUGGUGUGGCAGGAGAAGGAGGACAUGCACAAGCAAUUGGUUGAAGCUUCAGAGACAUUGAAAUCCCAAGCCAAAGAACUGAAAGAUGCCCAUCAGCAGCAAAAGCUGGCCCUGCAGGAGUUCUUGGAGCUCAAUGAGCUCAUGGCAGAGCUCUACUCCCAGAAGCAGAAGGUGUGGGACAAGGAGGAGGAGAUGGAAGUAGCCAUGCAGAAAGCUGACAUGAUGUGGCAGGAGAUCUGAAGAUCCAAGAAGCUCAGAAAGAGGAUGCUGUUUAGCCA
Molecule: long non-coding RNA, 359 nt
Filed under: Homo sapiens (human)
Lineage: Eukaryota; Metazoa; Chordata; Mammalia; Primates; Hominidae
Description: non-protein coding lnc-MZT2B-5:1
Source: RNAcentral